GAUUUGAUGUUUAUUACAGUUGAUGAAAAUCUUAGAUGCCCAGACCCUGAGCGACAAAUAAAUAAUGCCAUUUUGAAAGAGCAAAUCUGAAGAAAUAAUAUCAGGAAGGCAGCACAGUACAAUACAAGUGUAAAGCAGGCUAUUACUUUGAAAAUGGGCUCCAAGCCACAUGUUUAGCAGGAAAAUGGGAUUACCCACAAUGCAUAUCAUUGGGUGAAAAUCUUAGAUGUCGAGACCCUAAACGAGUGAUAAAUAAUGCAAUUCUGAGGAGAAUAAAUCUGAAGGCGUACUAUCAGGAAGGUGGCGCAGUACAAUACAAGUGCAAAGAGGGGUAUUACUUGGAAAAUGGGCCCCUAGCCACAUGCACUGGAGGAAAAUGGAAUUACCCACAAUGCAUACCAUUAGUUGAAACUCUUAGAUGCCCAAACCCAGAGCAAGAAAUAAAUAAUGCAAUUAUAAAGAGAAUUCAUCCAAAAGCAUACUAUCUGGAAGGUGCCACAGUACAGUACAAGUGUAAAGCAGGCUAUAACUUUGAAAAUGGGCCCCAAGCCACAUGUUUCAGAGGAAAAUGGGAUUACCCACAAUGCAUAAUGUUUGUUGAAAACGUUAAAUGCCCAAAGCCCGAGAGACAAAUAAAUAACGCAUUUCUGUAUAGAGCAUAUCAAAGGGCAUACUAUCUGGAAGGUGCCACAGUACAGUACAAGUGUAAAGCAGGCUAUAACUUUGAAAAUGGGCCCCAAGCCACAUGUUUCAGAGGAAAAUGGGAUUACCCACAAUGUAUACCAUUGGCUCAAAACCCUAAAUGUCCAGACCCUGAGCGACAAAUAAAUAAUGGCAUUUUAAAAAAAGGAAAUCUAAAGGCGUACUAUCAGGAAGGCAGCACAAUACUAUACAAGUGUAAAGAAGGAUUUUACUUUGAAAAUGGCCCCGAAGCCACAUGCUCUGCAGGACAAUGGAUUUACCCACGAUGUCUUCAAUAAUCCAUCGGAAAUUGAAACAUUACUCAAGGAACAAUCAUUGCUGAAGUCAAAGAAAUGUACAUAAAUAAUGGUCAAUCGAAAAUAUUUCAUAAACAGAUCAAAAAUAUAUUUGUAGCUAAAGUGCUUUAAUGG
Molecule: RNA transcript, 1112 nt
Organism: Silurus meridionalis
Lineage: Eukaryota; Metazoa; Chordata; Actinopteri; Siluriformes; Siluridae
Gene name: complement factor H-like
Exons: 6
Source: RefSeq, a predicted model, not a curated record